UUUGUCUUUAUUGGUUUCCUUAUAGAAUUACAACGUCUCGUUUCUAUACACGUAUCGCACGCGAUACUCGAAAAAUUAGUAAAAUAAAUAAAUAAAUAUGUACUUCACAUACAUAAUUUAUAUAAUCUCAUAUAUAUGAAUGAAUAUGUACAUACACAACCAUACAUACAAAUCUACGUAUACAUUCAGCUAUAAUUCAAACGUACAUCCAUAGCCUAAAUACACACGUAAUAUUAGCUACCCUAAUUAAUCAAACCUAACCUCUAUCUUAUCUCUAUUUUAUUACCUUAACCUUAUCCUAAUCGAUAUUUUAAUCUUACUCAACUUGCAAUUAAUAUAUCACUGAUCAACCAUGCUACUUGGAUAAUGAAUAUUUUGAUCAUCCGUUGCUUUACAAGUUUCUAGUAAUAAUUUUCAAUAUCCAAAGAUUCUAUUUUCAACGUAAUAUGUGGAAUUACUCGCAUAACUGAUCAAGUUGCCUCUAAAACGGAAUAACUUUCUUAACACCGUAACAAACGACUCGACCUUUUUUUUGAGGAAAUAGGAUGACUAGUUUACUGGAUGACACGUAUGAAAUUUUUGAAAAAAUUGCAAACGAUGAAGAUCGCUUUCUGCAGCUUCUUUAUCCGGGUCUGUAAUGAAAAUUUGAACAAGUUAUUUUGGAGAUUCAUGUCACUUAUACAGUGUGUUCAUUCUAGGAGUAUCCACCGUUUUUAUAGCAUUUCCAACGAUCUAACGAGAAAAUCUUGAGACGGAAGUUAAUCAGCCUCGAUUUGGCAAACUUGGUAAUAAGAAAAUUUUUCAAAAAUCUGCUUCUUCAAUAAAAGGACAAGGUCAGCUUAGUUUUUACAAAUAGCACUAUGUAUUUUUUACUUGAUAGGAUUGUAGCUGACUUCAAAACGAAUUCAACGAUCUAUAACAGUACGAUAUUCGCCCGAUUUUGAUCUCGAAACUUCGACUCAAUAACCAGAAAUGAAUGAAGCGUUCAGCAUAUAAUUGACGAUUCCCAUGAAUGGCAAUUUUUUCGAAAAUUGUUCUACACGACAUUUUGUAAACUAAUCCCUUUCACUUCUAAGAAAAAUACUCCUAAAAAAAAUACAAUAAUUUCUGGUAUUUAUAUCUAAAACGUAGAUUACUUUACAAAAACAUUGCCAAUAUUUCUGUUUUGUUUUUAAAGACGUACUUGAGAAUGUUGAAUCGUUGUAUCGCACUCUACAUAAGAGGAAAGAAUAAUAGAAAAUUUAUUUAGUUGGGAGUUUCUAUCGUACUUAGUUGGUUAAUUGUUGAUUUGGAAAGGGUUCAUGUUACUUAACCCAAUGCUUCCUCGUUGGCAAAUGGCAGAAGAAUUCGAUUACUUCAUUCUCCAUUAAACUGGUUACCUAAUAUUAUUGGUCCACAAAUUGAUAGGGAUAAAGAAUGUUCACAAGGAAGCCUUUGCUUUUGUGUUAUAUAACUCCGUAAGUGUUGCUUCGGUUUCCUUGAACGACGAAAAUAGUCUGUUUGAAACCGAUACGGAUAAUCUUCACGACGAUACUGAACGCUCUAUACGGAUGUUGUGAAAGAAUCAUGGAUUAUUACCAGAUUUAUAAUGAAAACCAGAAGCUUCAUUGUUGAUAUUCAUGCAAUGUACCUGUGCAAGGAUCCUGCUCAAUAGAAAGAAGAAUUGUCGGUUCUUGUAUGUGCUAGCGUCUGCAACCUUCAGCACUUGGCCGCAUGGUGCAGCACUAGUUCGUGAACAACCAGAACCAUAAGCGGGUAUUCAACCAAACCUGCCAACAGUUCGUAGUGAAAGCCAGAUAAGCUCUUGGAGCGCUCUGAAAACCAUGCAUAAAGAAAGAAAUAUUUAACUGGGAAACAAAAAUGAAAAUCUUCGAUGCAACAGUAGCCACCACAUUUACACAUAUAUUUAGUAUAUAGGGAUCUAUCGUUGGAUACACAACUAAUAUAGGAACAAUCCAUGCUCCUGAAAAGAUUACUGGGUUACUACAAACGGUAUUCCAUACUUCACUUGCUGAGGUUCGAAACAGGGAGAACAAAUGUGUGAAUCAUAUAGAAGGCGUUGCGGUAGAGAACUAAAUUACUGAAAAUGGAGGGUAUAAGGUUUCGAGGAGAAGUUGCGACAGAUUAGACCAACUGGACGAUGUAGAAAAACGAGAAAACUGGUAAGAAACUGGUAUAUACAAAUUAAAAAUAUACUCGGUAAAACCGGCCAGGAAGAGUUAUGCAACAACUCAUCG
Long non-coding RNA from Bombus pyrosoma, 2237 nucleotides. RefSeq lists it as uncharacterized. The record is from RefSeq and is a predicted model, not a curated record. The transcript is spliced from 4 exons. Lineage: Eukaryota; Metazoa; Arthropoda; Insecta; Hymenoptera; Apidae.